Long non-coding RNA from Mauremys reevesii (Reeves's turtle), 791 nucleotides. RefSeq lists it as uncharacterized. Lineage: Eukaryota; Metazoa; Chordata; Testudines; Geoemydidae. The transcript is spliced from 4 exons. The record is from RefSeq and is a predicted model, not a curated record.
AGGCCAGCUGGAGGGGCAGGUUGCUUGGCAGCAGCUGCACAGGGAGCAGGUAGGGCCCACUGGCCGCUGCAGGCUUUUGCAAAGAAGGGAUUGAUCGUGUCUCAGGGGCCGCUUGGUUUUCCUGUCCAGGCAGCAGGGAGCAAACAAACCCCCCAGCCGUUCUCCUGCUCUGACGUCAAUUAAAGGCUCCGACAGGUCCGCGACGUCAGCCAAGAUGUAUUGCAAACAGAUGGAAAGCCCUUGAAAAGUCUAUUCCUCGCGGAAGGGAACUAAUAUACAGUGUCUCCUUCAGGCUGGCGCUCAGGCCGCCUGGUGCAGGGGGCUGUUUACUCGCCAUGGAGAGGCCUCAGGGCUCCCACUGCCUUUUCUGUCUGAGGAUUUCUAUGCUCUAGCCAGCGCUGCACAAAAUCAGGUCUGCGGCUGAAAAAAAUCUGCUCCAGCAGACGAGGCAUGUCACUGCAGUGUGGGAGGAGAGAGAGAGAACAUGGCUGUGUCCAAACGGAGGAUAUUUCCAAAAUUACCCCACUCAGACCUCCUUUUACCACAGGGGUUAACAGCAGCAUGAAGCCACAGAGCAUUCACCAGGAAUGGAGUGUGGUCUGCAGCUCAAAGCCCUGCACCGGCUUGGCUCCCACUGAGAUGUGAAGGUGCCCGGGUCAGCACCAGAGGUGUUUCUUUGGUGCAAAUACAACAGGGAUCAGAUUAGAAGACUUGUGCCAAAACCAAAGAGGGAGCCAGCCAACGCCCAAGGGGCUGAACCAACCUGCCAGUCAGAGCAGUGAGAGUUGGGG